This is a long non-coding RNA of Panthera uncia (snow leopard), 2349 nucleotides long. RefSeq lists it as uncharacterized. The transcript is spliced from 2 exons. The record is from RefSeq and is a predicted model, not a curated record. NCBI's taxonomy places the organism in Eukaryota, Metazoa, Chordata, Mammalia, Carnivora, Felidae.
AGAGCAGUGCCCGAGCAGAACUCUUCAGACAACAGAGUGCCCUUUCCCAUGGAUGAAUCAUGAUUAUUCCAAGCCAGUUGGAAUGAUCUCACCCCCUUGGCCAGUGACUCGUUUAGGGUGGAUCUAUAGCCUAGCUUUGUCCAAAGACACAUAAAGAAAAUUCUGCUGGGGCCUCCUAGAAAGAACUUCAUCUUCCUAAUAAAAGAGACAGCAGUGGGGAAAAUAACUCCUCACCCACACCCCUGCUUUGUGUUUGGAGGACUUGAUGCUUGGAGCAGCGGCAACCAUCUUGUAACCAUGAGGGGAAAAGUGCCGGUACCAUGAGUUUGACAGAGUGAACGUUUUUAGGUCUUCUGGGUCCUUCAUGAUAUUGUUGACCUCCUGAACCAAUGCUGGUCUGCCCUCUCUGGCUUGAUAGGUAGAGACUGAAGAUCCUUCUGCUUUAAGCAAAUGUUAGUUGGGCUUUUUUUUUUAUGCAGUCAAAAUCAUCUUAAAGUAUGGUUCUCAGGUCUGGCCAAGAGUCUUGAAAACAUGCCAAGGCCCUGGUCUCACCCGAGAUGGAUGGACUCAAAGCCUCCAGGGCUGGGGCCCAAGCACUGCAAUGUUCCAGGCUUCCCUAACGAUUGUAGUGCGUAGCCAGGGCCGAGAACCCUUUUCUCGAUCAACAUGUCAGGUGGCCAUGCUGGUUUUCCACACUCGAGGAGGGGAAGGGGCAUUGUGACCUCAGAAUCAUUUUGUGCCUGAUGUUUGGGAUGUUGAUUUUUUGUAGCAGCAUCAACAUUAGUUUUGUGUAUCGUAAAAAUAGCCAAAGACGGGGAAUCAAGAGAUUUAGGUUCACAUAACAACUGACUGUGAGCACCUCUCUUCCUCUCUUUGGCCUUCGAUUUUUCCACCUGUUAAAUAUCAGGAUGGCCUAGAGCGCGUCCUCUGAUCCUCUGGUCCCCACAGGGGCGCUGUGCAACCAGGUGGGUCCCCAGCCCAGCUGACCCAGGCGCCCUGCUUCCCUGUGCCUGAGGUCUGGGUGGGCCCAGCUCACCUUCGGGAGGGUGGGGAAUGGGCUCUGCCCAGUGAGAGGUGACCCCCUUGGCUGCCCCAGGGCCAGGGUCAGGCUUCGACCCACCCCGACCUGGCACAAGGCAGGAAUCAGCGCAUGUGGUGCUACACUGACCGGAAGGGCUGGUGCCCAGUGCCUGGCCUGGCAUCGUUGUGCCCCCAUCUGAGGGCAUCUGCUCCAGGCCAGGUUGACAAGGGGGAAGACACUGGAGAGAGACAGAGACCUGGGUUAUAGUAGCCAUGUUGAUACUAGAGUGCUGUAUGACCUUGGCCAAGUCCCUGCCCCUCUCUGGGCCUCAGUUUCCCAUUGCAAACAGAGAGUUUUGGGUUUCCAAGUGCUGUUCUGGUUCUUUAGCCUCUACAACUCAGUGAGACAUUUGGUUUGUGUUUGUGCUAUUAACCCCCAAACUCCCUGUCCCCAAGGGUCCCCUAUGGCCACCUUAACAGGUCUACCAUAUGCAAAGAGCUUAGCGUUAGUCAUGAGGAAAUAAGGAACCCGGUGUUAGGGGAAGGGUCUCAGAUCCGGAUGUCAGAAGCCCCAGGUCUAGUUUCAAUUUGCAACUUACUAGCUGUGUGACCUUCUUUAAAUCACUUCCCCUUGCUGGGCCUUAGUUCCUUUAUCAGUAACAAUGGGAAUGAGACCACCCACUUCACCACGUUCUAGAAGCCGAUGCCUGUGCGGGGGCAGUGUCUGGGUAGGAGGCCCAGCAAGCAGUCGACAGGACCCCCUCCCGCAGCCAUUGGCCCUGCAGCCUGACAUGAGCUGAUCAGAGGCGUAAGGACAGCACCCAGCUCCUGGGCCCCUUUCCUGACCAGACGCUUGUGGGAGGAGCCAGAUGAGGAAACAGAGGCACAUCAGGGAGAAACUGACAAGGAAGAGACGAAAGCCUACAGCAUCGGACUUGACCGUUGUCCUCCCCCCAUGUAGCCGACAGCAGCAUCCCUCUGUUCUGUGGGUUUGAGGAAAGGCCGGAGUCACAUUGAAGGCCGCAUGUAUGUAAUCAGAAGGUCUAUGUGUAUAUGUGUACAUGGGAAUACGUGCACAUCUAUUUUACAAGCGCAUACAGUAUAUGUAAUACAUAAUCUACCCAUCUGCCAAUUGCAAAAGUUUCAGUUUCUUGCAAAGAUCACAUGAGCCUCGGCCCGAGGCAAUCCUGACAGCCCGGGGCCAUGCGAGCAAGCGGGGACUUGGCUCCCAGGGUCUUUGACCCCACUCCAUGCAAAGCCCAGUAAGUUUCUGUCAAAACUUCUCUCUCCGAUCUGCCAUUCCGUCAGGCUGUAGAGGGUUCCAGAAAA